CAGCAGCCGCGGUAAUACGUAGGGUGCAAGCGUUAAUCGGAAUUACUGGGCGUAAAGCGUGCGCAGGCGGUUAUGUAAGACAGAGGUGAAAUCCCCGGGCUCAACCUGGGAACUGCCUUUGUGACUGCAUAGCUGGAGUACGGCAGAGGGGGAUGGAAUUCCGCGUGUAGCAGUGAAAUGCGUAGAUAUGCGGAGGAACACCGAUGGCGAAGGCAAUCCCCUGGGCCUGUACUGACGCUCAUGCACGAAAGCGUGGGGAGCAAACAGGAUUAGA
RNAcentral lists this ribosomal RNA (274 nucleotides) under uncultured Limnohabitans sp. RNAcentral describes it as "partial 16S ribosomal RNA". It matches the Rfam family "Bacterial small subunit ribosomal RNA", at positions 509 to 782 of the family's 1533-position model. The record is from RNAcentral. Lineage: Bacteria; Pseudomonadati; Pseudomonadota; Betaproteobacteria; Burkholderiales; Comamonadaceae.